This 1505-nucleotide ribosomal RNA is filed under the name metagenome. Its description in RNAcentral is "bacterial SSU rRNA". It matches the Rfam family "Bacterial small subunit ribosomal RNA". The record is from RNAcentral.
AGAGUUUGAUCCUGGCUCAGGACGAACGCUAGCGGCGCGCUUAACACAUGCAAGUCGAACGCGAACGGUUGACUUCGGUUGGCUUAUUAGAGUGGCGAACGGGUGCGUAACGCGUAGGCAACCUACCCUCGAGUGGGGAAUAAGCCCGGGAAACCGGGUCUAAUACCGCAUACGAUCCCGGGGUCGCAUGAUCUUGGGAUUAAAGCCUUCGGGCGCUUGAGGAUGGACCUGCGUCCUAUUAGCUUGUUGGUGAGGUAACGGCUCACCAAGGCGACGAUGGGUAGCUGGUCUGAGAGGACGACCAGCCACACUGGGACUGAGAUACGGCCCAGACUCCUACGGGAGGCAGCAGUGAGGAAUAUUGCGCAAUGGGCGAAAGCCUGACGCAGCGACGCCGCGUGAGCGACGAAACCCUUCGGGGUGUAAAGCUCUGUUCUGAGGGACGAAUGCUCGUGUUUACACGGGAGGGACGGUACCUCAGGAGAAAGCACCGGCUAACUCCGUGCCAGCAGCCGCGGUAAUACGGAGGGUGCAAGCGUUGUCCGGAUUUACUGGGCGUAAAGGGCGUGUAGGCGGGACGGUCAGUCGGAGGUGAAAGGUGCAAGCUUAACUUGCAGAUUGCCUUCGAUACUGCCGUUCUUGAGUGCAGGAGAGGGCAGUGGAAUUCCCGGUGUAGCGGUGGAAUGCGCAGAUAUCGGGAGGAACACCCGUGGCGAAGGCGGCUGCCUGGCCUGACACUGACGCUAAGGCGCGAAAGCGUGGGGAGCAAACAGGAUUAGAUACCCUGGUAGUCCACGCUGUAAACGAUGGGUACUAGGUGUCGGGAGAUUUCGAUCCUUCCGGUGCCGACGCUAACGCAUUAAGUACCCCGCCUGGGGAGUACGAUCGCAAGGUUGAAACUCAAAGGAAUUGACGGGGCCCCGCACAAGCGGUGGAGCAUGUGGUUUAAUUCGAUUCAACGCGAAGAACCUUACCUGGCCUAGAAUUGCAACUGCAAAUCCUCUGAAAGGAGGACUCCUUCGAGGGUGUUGCAAAGGUGCUGCAUGGCUGUCGUCAGCUCGUGUCGUGAGAUGUUUGGUUAAGUCCAGCAACGAGCGCAACCCUUACCGUUAGUUGCCAUCAGGUCCUUCGGGAUGCUGGGAACUCUAACGGGACUGCCCAGGUUAACUGGGAGGAAGGUGGGGAUGACGUCAAGUCCUCAUGGCCCUUACGGCCAGGGCUACACACGUGCUACAAUGGAUGGUACAGAGGGCUGCAAAACCGCGAGGUCGAGCGAAUCCCAAAAAGCCAUCCCCAAUUCGGAUUGUAGUCUGCAACUCGACUACAUGAAGCUGGAAUCGCUAGUAAUCGCUGAUCAGCAUGGCAGCGGUGAAUACGUUCCCGGGGCUUGUACACACCGCCCGUCACACCAUGGAAGCCGGUAGCACCCGAAGUCGUCGCGCCAACCGCAAGGAGGCAGACGCCGAAGGUGAGAUUGGUGACUGGGGUGAAGUCGAAACAAGGUA